RNAcentral lists this ribosomal RNA (958 nucleotides) under uncultured bacterium. RNAcentral's name for it is "bacterial SSU rRNA". It matches the Rfam family "Bacterial small subunit ribosomal RNA", at positions 534 to 1492 of the family's 1533-position model. The record is from RNAcentral.
GCAAGCGUUAAUCGGAAUUACUGGGCGUAAAGCGCACGCAGGCGGUUUGUUAAGUCAGAUGUGAAAUCCCCGGGCUCAACCUGGGAACUGCAUUUGAAACUGGCAAGCUAGAGUCUCGUAGAGGGGGGUAGAAUUCCAGGUGUAGCGGUGAAAUGCGUAGAGAUCUGGAGGAAUACCGGUGGCGAAGGCGGCCCCCUGGACGAAGACUGACGCUCAGGUGCGAAAGCGUGGGGAGCAAACAGGAUUAGAUACCCUGGUAGUCCACGCUGUAAACGAUGUCGAUUUGGAGGUUGUGCCCUUGAGGCGUGGCUUCCGGAGCUAACGCGUUAAAUCGACCGCCUGGGGAGUACGGCCGCAAGGUUAAAACUCAAAUGAAUUGACGGGGGCCCGCACAAGCGGUGGAGCAUGUGGUUUAAUUCGAUGCAACGCGAAGAACCUUACCUACUCUUGACAUCCAGAGAACUUUCCAGAGAUGGAUUGGUGCCUUCGGGAACUCUGAGACAGGUGCUGCAUGGCUGUCGUCAGCUCGUGUUGUGAAAUGUUGGGUUAAGUCCCGCAACGAGCGCAACCCUUAUCCUUUGUUGCCAGCGGUUCGGCCGGGAACUCAAAGGAGACUGCCAGUGAUAAACUGGAGGAAGGUGGGGAUGACGUCAAGUCAUCAUCGCCCUUACGAGUAGGGCUACACACGUGCUACAAUGGCAUAUACAAAGAGAAGCGACCUCGCGAGAGCAAGCGGACCUCAUAAAGUAUGUCGUAGUCCGGAUUGGAGUCUGCAACUCGACUCCAUGAAGUCAGAAUCGCUAGUAAUCGUAGAUCAGAAUGCUACGGUGAAUACGUUCCCGGGCCUUGUACACACCGCCCGUCACACCAUGGGAGUGGGUUGCAAAAGAAGUAGGUAGCUUAACCUUCGGGAGGGCGCUUACCACUUUGUGAUUCAUGACUGGGGUGAAGUCGUAAC